GGGAGAACAACCUGAAGGUAAUUCUCUUUGCACACAACAGCAGCCUCCAGGCCUCCACCGAGUACGGAAGGGAGCCGCAGCUGUUGACUAAGGUAAACAAUGCAAUUGUAGAUAUAAUUAUUACAUAUACUGUAGUCUUUCAAAUUUGUGAUUGACUUAGUGUUGUUGUUUGUCUAUUGCUAUUUUUGUAUAACGUACUUUCAGAUCACUGAAACCCCACCUGAUGUGAUGGAAGUUGUCGAACCAGGAUGUGGAGGUUUUUGACAAGGUGAAACUGAAUAUCGACAGGGCACAGGAGAAACAGAAGGAGAGCUACCGGAGCAGAAUCAAGAAGGGGACCAGGUGCUAUGACAUCCAGGCAAAAAUGGUUACCUCGGUGGAAGCCAACAAUCUUCUACAGUUGGAGCAGUUGGACGGUUGACCACUGAAAGCCCUGACGCCCUACACUUCAGUGAAGCCCAAUAGACAAACCACACCAGAUCCAGUGCGUACGGAUCAGUCUGAUUGUCUGUGCUCUGAGUCGGAGGGGGGACCAGCUUGAGGACCCAGGUGUUCUGCCCAACACCCAGAUGUGGAUCUACCUGAUGUCCUCCAUUACCAACCAUCCUCCAACUUUCAUUACAUAAGUAACAGCUACUGUUGUUGUCAUUAUCUGAUUAAAAGUUUUCUUGCUCUAUCAUACUGGGCACAUAAUAUGUGAGAUACACAGAUUACCUAAAAACAGUAGCACUGCAAACACUCAGAACAAAGAGUGCAGCAGUGCCUGGACUUUGCGGUCUCACUUUUCAAGUCCCCCUUCCGAGAUUGGCUGCCUGUUGAGAACAAGUGACAGACAGAACCGUCGACCCACACAGCAACCACCUCCUCUAUAUUCUACACAACAGAAUUCAGUAUUUUAGUCUAUGAUUGCCAUGUGUGCAAAAAAAUC
This 928-nucleotide long non-coding RNA is filed under the name Salmo salar (Atlantic salmon). RNAcentral's name for it is "lncRNA (ENSSSAG00000120078.1)". The record is from RNAcentral. Lineage: Eukaryota; Metazoa; Chordata; Actinopteri; Salmoniformes; Salmonidae.